This 445-nucleotide ribosomal RNA is filed under the name uncultured bacterium. RNAcentral's name for it is "SSU rRNA". It matches the Rfam family "Bacterial small subunit ribosomal RNA", at positions 26 to 518 of the family's 1533-position model. The record is from RNAcentral.
AGAGCGAACGCUGGCGGCAGGCUUAACACAUGCAAGUCGAACGAUCCUUCGGGAUAGUGGCGGACGGGUGAGUAACACGUGGGAACGUGCCUUUAGGUUCGGAACAACACAGGGAAACUUGUGCUAAUACCGGAUGUGCCCUUCGGGGGAAAGAUUUAUCGCCUUUAGAGCGGCCCGCGUCUGAUUAGCUUGUUGGUGGGGUAAAGGCCUACCAAGGCGACGAUCAGUAGCUGGUCUGAGAGGAUGGCCAGCCACAUUGGGACUGAGACACGGCCCAAACUCCUACGGGAGGCAGCAGUGGGGAAUCUUGCGCAAUGGGCGAAAGCCUGACGCAGCCAUGCCGCGUGGAUGAUGAAGGUCUUAGGGAUUGUAAAAUCCUUUCACCGGGGACGAUAAUAACGGUACCCGGAGAAGAAGCCCCGGCUAACUUCGCGCCAGCAGCCGC